AGUGAACGCUGGCGGUAGGCCUAACACAUGCAAGUCGAACGGCAGCACAGGAGAGCUUGCUCUCUGGGUGGCGAGUGGCGGACGGGUGAGGAAUACAUCGGAAUCUACUCUGUCGUGGGGGGUAACGUAGGGAAACUUACGCUAAUACCGCAUACGACCUACGGGUGAAAGCAGGGGACCUUCGGGCCUUGCGCGAUUGAAUGAGCCGAUGUCGGAUUAGCUAGUUGGCGGGGUAAAGGCCCACCAAGGCGACGAUCCGUAGCUGGUCUGAGAGGAUGAGCAGCCACACUGGAACGGAGACACGGUCCAGACUCCGACGGGAGGCAGCAGUGGGGAAUAUUGGACAAUGGGCGAAAGCCUGAUCCAGCCAGACCGCGUGGGUGAAGAAGGCCUUCGGGUUGUAAAGCCCUUUUGUUGGGAAAGAAAUCCAGCUGGCUAAUACCCGGUUGGGAUGACGGUACCCAAAGAAUAAGCACCGGCUAACUUCGUGCCAGCAGCCGCCGUAA
This 506-nucleotide ribosomal RNA is filed under the name uncultured bacterium. Its description in RNAcentral is "partial 16S ribosomal RNA". It matches the Rfam family "Bacterial small subunit ribosomal RNA", at positions 29 to 523 of the family's 1533-position model. The record is from RNAcentral.